AGCAUAUAAGACCGCCGCUUCUCAAAUGAGGUUGGAAUGUUCCCUGGUUUAGUUGGGGGAGCCCAAUAGCCCAGUAUUAGCCUUGAGGUAAUAGAGUCUGGGUGAUGGAAUAAGGUUUCCCCAACAGAACUGCGCUUCCCAAGAAUGGGAAUAAGAAUGGGGGCGAGGCCAGCAUGGUGCGGGGGUGUCUAGAGACAGCAGAAACCUGAGGCUGUCCCAAUGGCAUGCCACAGGGGGAACGCCUGAGCCGCUUUGGACUCCGCACAGAGACCACAGGCACUGUCACCUUCCGCUUGCACUGUCUGCAGCAGUCCAGGGCCUUCAUGGAAUCGAGCUCCCUUCGGAAAAGGAUGCGGAGUGUGUUGGACCGUCUGGAAGGGUUCAGCCAGCAGAGUUCCAUUCACAAUGUGCUAGAGGCCUUCCGUCGAGCCCGGCGCCGCAUGCAGGAGGCCCGGGAAAGCCUCCCGCAGGACCUAGUGAGCCACUCUGGAACCCUGGUCUCCUAGCUCACAGCAGCCCUGGCCUACAGUGCAAGAGGACAAGAUGGGGAAUAUCUGAGGCCAGUGCUCUCCUGCCUCUUCGUCUUUCUGAUUAGAGACCACGUUGGUCUGCUGAGAACCAGAAGAGCUGGGAAAUUCCCGGCUGGCCCCUCUGCCUAGCCUUCUGCAGGCUCUUCUCCCUACCCUGUGGAAAUAAA
This 697-nucleotide small RNA is filed under the name Pan troglodytes (chimpanzee). RNAcentral describes it as "retained intron". Lineage: Eukaryota; Metazoa; Chordata; Mammalia; Primates; Hominidae. The record is from RNAcentral.